UAACGCGAAGAACCUUACCUACUCUUGACAUGUCUGGAAUCCUGAAGAGAUUUGGGAGUGCUCGAAAGAGAGCCAGAACACAGGUGCUGCAUGGCCGUCGUCAGCUCGUGUCGUGAGAUGUUGGGUUAAGUCCCGCAGCGAGCGCAACCCUUGUCAUUAGUUGCUACGAAAGGGCACUUUAAUGAGACUGCCGGUGACAAACCGGAGGAAGGUGGGGAUGACGUCAGGUCAUCAUGGCCCUUAUGGGUAGGGCUACACACGUCAUACAAUGGCCGGGACAGAGGGCUGCCAACCCGCGAGGGGGAGCUAAUCCCAGAAACCCGGUCGUAGUCCGGAUCGUAGUCUGCAACUCGACUGCGUGAAGUCGGAAUCGCUAGUAAACGCCGAUCAGCACGCGGCGUUGAAUACGUUCCCGGGCCUUGUACACACCG
This 431-nucleotide ribosomal RNA is filed under the name uncultured Roseateles sp. RNAcentral describes it as "bacterial SSU rRNA". It matches the Rfam family "Bacterial small subunit ribosomal RNA", at positions 957 to 1392 of the family's 1533-position model. The record is from RNAcentral. Lineage: Bacteria; Pseudomonadati; Pseudomonadota; Betaproteobacteria; Burkholderiales; Sphaerotilaceae.